Long non-coding RNA from Corticium candelabrum, 584 nucleotides. RefSeq lists it as uncharacterized. The transcript is spliced from 4 exons. The record is from RefSeq and is a predicted model, not a curated record. NCBI's taxonomy places the organism in Eukaryota, Metazoa, Porifera, Homoscleromorpha, Homosclerophorida, Plakinidae.
AGACAGUGGUUGUCAGAUACAGCAAGACAGACAGGAGAAACAUUUGUGGAUGAUAACUGGCGUGACAUUACUGUGAAAAAUGCUCCAAGGCAGCUAGACAGUUGCAGCUGUGGAGUCUACUGUUUAAUGUUAUGUUAUUUUCAACCGUUUUCUAUGUAAAUCUUGCACAACGACUUCUACCAAUCUGUGAACUUUUCAGUACAUGAGACAAAAAGCAGUCACUAAUAUCCAACACUUCUGUGAGAGUGACAUUGAUGAAAUUCGAUCUUGGCUAGUGCAUAGACUAAUAACAUUUUCAGCUCGAAGCGUAACAACUCAGCAAAGGCUCACCUUUGGAAACCAAUACCAAAACCAAAAACUCAAGUGAGAACAUGGAAAGUUUGCAGUCUCAGCUGUUUGAUACCUCGCUGCUGCGACUUUGUCAAACAGCAGCAAGGUCAGAAGAAUGGAGAGCAGAAGAUGACAAUAAUAUGCAUGUAUGUUGUUACAUACAAAUGUGCUUACCUUAGAGGCUGAGCAGGCCAUUUUGUCAUUUCUUGUUGCUCAAAUGCAGAUAAACAUAUGUAAGCAACAAGAAAUGACUG